This is a long non-coding RNA of Numida meleagris (helmeted guineafowl), 555 nucleotides long. RefSeq lists it as uncharacterized. Lineage: Eukaryota; Metazoa; Chordata; Aves; Galliformes; Numididae. The transcript is spliced from 2 exons. The record is from RefSeq and is a predicted model, not a curated record.
GAGGAAGGAGGAGGAAGAGGAGGCGGGGGACGGCGCGGAGUUUUCCGGCGGAGGGCUGCCCCUGUGCGGCCCCACAGCCGCGCUCAGCCGCUCCGCAUCGCCCCGCGGACAAAGGAGCCGCCCCCGCUGGCAUCCAUCCAGCUCAGCACGGCCUCUUUUCGGAUCAGCUCUGAGUUUUCUUCGGAGAAAACCUUCUCCCAAGAGUUUGCUGAUCCGUUUCCAUCCUGGCGAUGCAGAGAGGCAGAGCCCGGGCCGGGGGAAGCAAUUCACCUGGAUGCCAAAAUGCAGCGCUAACCUCUUCCAAAUGGAGCCGAGUGGGGAUGGAGAGAGAGCAACACCACCGGUAUGAGCCCUCAUUUCCAGGAUGGGGAGGAGGAUCCAGGAUGUGUGCGGUGCCCGGUUCCUUGUGGCUGGGCAGGAUGAGUGCAAGCACGGGGAUUGAGCAGCACCGUGUGCCCCGGCCCCACAAUCAGAGCUGCGCUGUGCCCCCGCUGCACUCAGCAGCACUGACUUCAGGCAGCGCUUCCCCGUGCCAUGAUCUCUCAUUAUAACUUU